Molecule: ribosomal RNA, 620 nt
Filed under: uncultured bacterium
Lineage: Bacteria
Description: bacterial SSU rRNA
Rfam family: Bacterial small subunit ribosomal RNA
Source: RNAcentral
GCGAAGCGCUUGAAUCUGAUUCUUCGGACGAGGAUUCUUGUGACUGAGCGGCGGACGGGUGAGUAACGCGUGGGCAACCUGCCUUACACAGGGGGAUAACAGUUAGAAAUGACUGCUAAUACCGCAUAAGACCGCAGUACCGCAUGGUACAGCGGUAAAAACUCCGGUGGUGUAAGAUGGGCCCGCGUCUGAUUAGGUAGUUGGCGGGGUAACGGCCCACCAAGCCGACGAUCAGUAGCCGACCUGAGAGGGUGACCGGCCACAUUGGGACUGAGACACGGCCCAGACUCCUACGGGAGGCAGCAGUGGGGAAUAUUGCACAAUGGGGGAAACCCUGAUGCAGCGACGCCGCGUGAGCGAUGAAGUAUUUCGGUAUGUAAAGCUCUAUCAGCAGGGAAGAAAAUGACGGUACCUGACUAAGAAGCCCCGGCUAACUACGUGCCAGCAGCCGCGGUAAUACGUAGGGGGCAAGCGUUAUCCGGAUUUACUGGGUGUAAAGGGAGCGUAGACGGCUGUGCAAGCCAGAUGUGAAAGCCCGGGGCUCAACCCCGGGACUGCAUUUUGGAACUGUGUGGCUGGAGUGUCGGAGAGGCAGGCGGAAUUCCUAGUGUAGCGGUGAA